UAACAAGGUUUCCGUAGGUGAACCUGCGGAAGGAUCAUUAUCGUACAAAAUGUGUGAGGCAUGCGAGGGCUGUCGCCGACUUAAAGUUGUGCACGCCAGAGUGUGUCCUCUCACAUAAAAUCCAUCUCACCCUUUUGUGCACCACCACGUGGGCACCCUUUGGGAUCGAACCCGAUCUUGGAGGGGGCUUGCGUUUUCACACAAACCCCAUUUUAAAAGUGUAGAAUGACCACAUUUUUGCGAUAACACGCAAUCAAUACAACUUUCAACAACGGAUCUCUUGGCUCUCGCAUCGAUGAAGAACGCAGCGAAAUGCGAUACGUAAUGUGAAUUGCAGAAUUCAGUGAAUCAUCGAAUCUUUGAACGCACCUUGCGCCCCUUGGUAUUCCGAGGGGCACACCCGUUUGAGUGUCGUGAAAAUCUCAACCUUCUUAGGUUUCUUCUGGAGACCAAAGGAGGCUUGGACUUUGGAGGCCUUUGCUGGCGUCUCUCUCUUUUGAAGGCCAGCUCCUCUUAAACAAAUUAGCAGGGUCCUCUUUGCCGAUCCUUGACAUGUGAUAAGAUGCUUCCAUGUCUUGGCUUUCUGGCUCUGUUGCCUUUGGGACCCGCUUCUAAUCGUCUUGACCUUGCGUCGAGACAACGUUUGAGCACGUCUCCCUUCUAGGGAAACGCUCUCAACCCCACGAACCCUUGACCUCAAAUCGGGUGAGACUACCCG
RNAcentral lists this ribosomal RNA (718 nucleotides) under Lactarius ilicis. RNAcentral describes it as "eukaryotic LSU rRNA". The stretch from base 261 to 414 matches the Rfam family "5.8S ribosomal RNA". The record is from RNAcentral. Lineage: Eukaryota; Fungi; Basidiomycota; Agaricomycetes; Russulales; Russulaceae.